Molecule: ribosomal RNA, 240 nt
Filed under: uncultured Lactobacillus sp.
Lineage: Bacteria; Bacillati; Bacillota; Bacilli; Lactobacillales; Lactobacillaceae
Description: partial 16S ribosomal RNA
Rfam family: Bacterial small subunit ribosomal RNA
Source: RNAcentral
UAACCUGCCCAAGAGAUCGGGAUAACACCUGGAAACAGAUGCUAAUACCGGAUAACAACAGAUGAUGCCUAUCAACUGUUUAAAAGAUGGUUCUGCUAUCACUCUUGGAUGGACCUGCGGUGCAUUAGCUAGUCGGUAGGGUAACGGCCUACCAAGGCGAUGAUGCAUAGCCGAGUUGAGAGACUGAUCGGCCACAUUGGGACUGAGACACGGCCCAAACUCCUACGGGAGGCAGCAGUG